UUCUAAGCUCUAGAUUUCGAAACGCCGCGUUCCGUGUUCUCCUUCCCUAUUCCGCACGUCCUCUGAUUUCGGCGGUGUUUCUCGUGCUCGUGCUCUCAUGAAACUACAAGGCUCUACUGGAACUCUGCUGAAAAUUCUCGUAUUGCUCACAAAUUUCUGGUCUUUAAAUAGACUGAUUAUGCAGUGAUAACCGGAGCUAACUUCCUAACCAACCAAUGGUUAGUUGCUGUUUAAAUAAUAAUAGAGGAUCAGGAAAAGCAAAGUCCUCUACACUGUGCCUGUAAAAUGAAGGAUUCAACUGUGUGUAAAUUGAAUAAACAACGACAGGUAUUUCAGCCACAAGACCUAGAGGCGGUUAGAUGAACUUUUACAACCUUGCAAGUUUGCUAGUUGGAGAUUUGGCAGGAUACAGCUUAGCGAAAUGUAAUGGUAUUAUUGCUGGUGGUAUAAAGUUGAGGUUGGGUAUGGCUACUGAACUAGCAAUUACACAGUCAAGGAAUGGUGUGAAGACAUUUUUUCAUUUGCUUGCACUUGAAAUUCUCCAGUCUCCAUUCUCCAUUCUCCAUUCCCACAUUUUUCAAUUUGUGUACGAGUGCUUUUCUUAUUUUCAUGAGAGGAACUCGAUUAAUUUAUUUCCCACGAUGGAAUUUAGAGGGGGAAAAGAAAAAGAAUAUCUAUUUCAGACUUUCAGCGGCCUAUUAUAAUUCAUUUGGUGGUCUGCAUCUUCUUUACAGCUUAUAUCUCGUAAUUAUUAAGUUACAGUGAAAACGAUCAAGUAUUUCCAAACUAGUCAUGUUUAUAAGCAUAGGGAUGUUUCAUCUGGGGUUACAUGCUCUGAAAACCCGACACUAAAAUUCUUAAUUAUUAUUGUCUGAGGAGGAAUAUCUUUCUCUUCUUUUCUAGUUCUUGGGGAAGUAAAAUAAAAUCAUUACUUCUGAUGAUUAUUGAAAAGCAAAGUGUGCUUUGCUUAAAGGGCUUUUGGGAGCUGUUUGCGAUCAGGCGUUUGCCAGAACUUGUUUCUGAAUGGCUGGUCUCUAUUACAAUACAAUACAGUACAACGAAGCCUGGUGGCUAUGCAUGAAAUUCCUGCAAGAGACAAAAAGCAUGAGAGACAGUUGCAACCUACAAAGUGAGCAAUUCAAAGCUUUCUUUUUUUCCAAUUAUAAUGUUAUAUGUUUAUAUUUAUGUUUCCUUCAAAACCCAUUUAGAAAAAUCAGCGAAAGAAUAAACCAAAAUUAGUAGAGAGAGAAAGUCAGGAGAUGUCAGGAAGAAGGGAUGUGAAGGGGAACUUUCAUCAUCAAUCUCAAUAGCUUUCAAAGAGAACCGAAUCAGACAAAAGCUUGGGAUUAAGAAAAGGAUGUUGCUUUUGGGGGAAAAAAAUAAUAUAAUAUUUAAAAAAAAUGAAAAAAAAGAAACCAGGAAUCUCACUGUAUACAUUGCUUUUUACAGAACUCUAAGCCCCCACUUUUCAUCAUUCUUUCACCGCUAGAAUGAUUAGUCAUAUUUACUAUCCCAACUAAAAUUCUUAAAAGACACCCUCUCUGCCUGAACUGAACUGGAGAGAGAGGGACAUCACUUCUACUAGAAAACCUAACGCCCAAAAAGAAGAUAGGAAAUUUUUGGAUGUUUCCCCUCUUCCUCUUCUAUGGGAAUAUUGACCCAUCUUUCUCUCUCUCUUUGAAAACUACAAAGAAGCUUCUUCCUUUCAAUUCCAUUCCUUUUGUUCACUCAACUUUCGU
Molecule: long non-coding RNA, 1739 nt
Organism: Cucumis sativus (cucumber)
Lineage: Eukaryota; Viridiplantae; Streptophyta; Magnoliopsida; Cucurbitales; Cucurbitaceae
Exons: 4
Source: RefSeq, a predicted model, not a curated record